Molecule: ribosomal RNA, 465 nt
Filed under: Vreelandella stevensii
Lineage: Bacteria; Pseudomonadati; Pseudomonadota; Gammaproteobacteria; Oceanospirillales; Halomonadaceae
Description: partial 16S ribosomal RNA
Rfam family: Bacterial small subunit ribosomal RNA
Source: RNAcentral
CCUACGGGGCGCAGCAGUGGGGAAUAUUGGACAAUGGGCGAAAGCCUGAUCCAGCCAUGCCGCGUGUGUGAAGAAGGCCUUCGGGUUGUAAAGCACUUUCAGUGGGGAAGAAAGCCUUGGGGCUAAUACCCUCGAGGAAGGACAUCACCCACAGAAGAAGCACCGGCUAACUCCGUGCCAGCAGCCGCGGUAAUACGGAGGGUGCGAGCGUUAAUCGGAAUUACUGGGCGUAAAGCGCGCGUAGGCGGUCUGAUAAGCCGGUUGUGAAAGCCCCGGGCUCAACCUGGGAACGGCAUCCGGAACUGUCAGGCUAGAGUGCAGGAGAGGAAGGUAGAAUUCCCGGUGUAGCGGUGAAAUGCGUAGAGAUCGGGAGGAAUACCAGUGGCGAAGGCGGCCUUCUGGACUGACACUGACGCUGAGGUGCGAAAGCGUGGGUAGCAAACAGGACUAGAUACCCUGGUAGUC